This 459-nucleotide ribosomal RNA is filed under the name uncultured bacterium. RNAcentral's name for it is "partial 16S ribosomal RNA". It matches the Rfam family "Bacterial small subunit ribosomal RNA", at positions 338 to 795 of the family's 1533-position model. The record is from RNAcentral.
CCUACGGGCGGCAGCAGUGAGGAAUAUUGGUCAAUGGGCGCUAGUCUGAACCAGCCAAGUAGCGUGAAGGAUGACUGCCCUAUGGGUUGUAAACUUCUUUUAUAUGGGAAUAAAGUGCAGUAUGUAUACUGUUUUGCAUGUACCUUAUGAAUAAGGAUCGGCUAAUUCCGUGCAGCAGCCGCGGUAAUACGGAGGAUCCGAGCGUUAUCCGGAUUUAUUGGGUUUAAAGGGAGCGUAGGCGGGUUGUUAAGUCAGUUGUGAAAGUUUGCGGCUCAACCGUAAAAUUGCAGUUGAUACUGGCAUCCUUGAGUACGGUAGAGGUAGGCGGAAUUCGUGGUGUAGCGGUGAAAUGCUUAGAUAUCACGAAGAACUCCGAUUGCGAAGGCAGCCUGCUGGACUGUAACUGACGCUGAUGCUCGAAAGUGUGGGUAUCAAACAGGAUUAGAUACCCCAGUAGUC